This 468-nucleotide ribosomal RNA is filed under the name uncultured bacterium. RNAcentral's name for it is "partial 16S ribosomal RNA". It matches the Rfam family "Bacterial small subunit ribosomal RNA", at positions 28 to 507 of the family's 1533-position model. The record is from RNAcentral.
GACGAACGCUGGCGGCGUGCUUAACACAUGCAAGUCGAACGGAAAGGCCCUGCUUUUGUGGGGUGCUAGCGAGGCGAACGGGUGAGUAACACGUGAGUAUCCUGCGCUUGACUUUGGGAUAACUUAAGGGAACUGGGGCUCUUACCGGAUAGGAGCUCCUGAUGCAUGUUGGUGGUUGGAAAGUUUCGGCGGUUGGGGAUGGACUUGCGGCUAAUCAGCUUGUUGGUGGGGUAGUGGCAUACCAAGGCUUUGACGGGUAGCCGGCCUGAGAGGGGGACCGGCGACAUUGGGACUGAGAUACGGCCCAGACGCCGACGGGAGGCAGCAGUGGGGAAUAUUGCACAAUGGGCGGAAGCCUGAUGCAGCAACGCCGCGUGCGGGAUAACGGCCUUCGGGUUAUAAACCGCUGUCGCCUGUAACGAAGCGUGAGUGACGGUAAUGGGUAAAGAAGCACCGGCUAACUACGUG